GGGGGUGAACUGUGGUUAAGGAACUCGGCAAAUUGCCCCCGUAACUUCGGGAGAAGGGGGACCUCUGCUGGUGAUGGGCUUUACGUUCUGAGCUGGUGGGGGUCGCAGUGGCCAGGGGGAAGCGACUGUUUACUAAAAACACAGGUCCGUGCGAAGUCGUAAGACGAUGUAUACGGACUGACGCCUGCCCGGUGCCGGAACGUUAAGGGGACCGCUUAGCCAGCUUCGGUUGGCGAAGGUGAGAACUUAAGCGCCGGUAAACGGCGGUGGUAACUAUAACCAUCCUAAGGUAGCGAAAUUCCUUGUCGGGUAAGUUCCGACCUGCACGAAUGGCGUAACGACUUCCCCGCUGUCUCAACCACAGACCCGGCGAAAUUGCACUACGAGUAAAGAUGCUCGUUUCGCGCAGCAGGACGGAAAGACCCCGGGACCUUCACUACAGCUUGACAUUGGCGUUUGGAACGUCUUGUGUAGGAUAGGUGGGAGACUAGGAAGCUGUCACGCUAGUGAUGGUGGAGUCAUUGGUGAAAUACCACUCUGGUCGUUUUGAACGUCUAACUCUGGUCCGUGAUCCGGAUCGGGGACAGUGUCUGGUGGGUAGUUUAACUGGGGCGGUUGCCUCCUAAAGAGUAACGGAGGCGCCCAAAGGUUCCCUCAGCCUGGUUGGCAAUCAGGUGUUGAGUGUAAGUGCACAAGGGAGCUUGACUGUGAGACUGACAGGUCGAGCAGGAGCGAAAGCUGGGACUAGUGAUCCGGCAUCGGCGUGUGGAAGCGGUGUCGCUCAACGGCUAAAAGGUACCCCGGGGAUAACAGGCUGAUCUUCCCCAAGAGUCCAUAUCGACGGGAUGGUUUGGCACCUCGAUGUCGGCUCGUCGCAUCCUGGGGCUGGAGUAGGUCCCAAGGGUUGGGCUGUUCGCCCAAUAAAGCGGUACGCGAGCUGGGUUUAGAACGUCGCGAGACAGUUCGGUCCCUAUCCGCUGCGCGCGCAGGAGACUUGAAGGGGGCUGUCCCUAGUACGAGAGGACCGGGACGGACGAACCUCUGGUGUGCCAGUUGUACCGCCAGGUGCACGGCUGGUUGGCUACGUUCGGAAGGGAUAACUGCUGAAAGCAUCUAAGCGGGAAGCUCGCCUUGAGAUGAGGUCUCCCACCCCGUGAGGGGGUAAGGCUCCCGGUAGAUCACCGGGUUGAUAGGCCGGAGGUGGAAGCACGGUAACGUGUGGAGCUGACCGGUACUAAUAGGCCGAGGACUUGACUA
Molecule: ribosomal RNA, 1257 nt
Filed under: metagenome
Description: bacterial LSU rRNA
Rfam family: Bacterial large subunit ribosomal RNA
Source: RNAcentral